GGGGAUAUAGCUCAGUGGCACAGCACCUGCCUGGUGAGCACAAGGUCCUGAGUUCAAUUCCCAGUACCA
This 69-nucleotide transfer RNA is filed under the name Cavia porcellus (domestic guinea pig). It matches the Rfam family "tRNA". From Rfam's summary of the family: Transfer RNA (tRNA) molecules are approximately 80 nucleotides in length. Their secondary structure includes four short double-helical elements and three loops (D, anti-codon, and T loops). Further hydrogen bonds mediate the characteristic L-shaped molecular structure. tRNAs have two regions of fundamental functional importance: the anti-codon, which is responsible for specific mRNA codon recognition, and the 3' end, to which the tRNAs corresponding amino acid is attached (by aminoacyl-tRNA synthetases). tRNAs cope with the degeneracy of the genetic code in two manners: having more than one tRNA (with a specific anti-codon) for a particular amino acid; and 'wobble' base-pairing, i.e. permitting non-standard base-pairing at the 3rd anti-codon position. Lineage: Eukaryota; Metazoa; Chordata; Mammalia; Rodentia; Caviidae. The record is from Rfam by way of RNAcentral.